CGCAAUUGAACUUCAAGGUCUAUUACUUCGAUCCAGAGAUCGUCCGCAACCUGAUCUCCACCUCCGUCAGACAAGCCCUCGAACAACCCCUCAACUACGCCAGAAAUUACCUCGCUGACCUCCUCGAACCCUGCGUCGAGAGGGUUAUAUACCUCGACUCCGAUCUGGUUCUCGUCGACGACAUUGCCAAGCUCUGGAGCACCAGUCUAGGUUCUAGAACCAUUGGCGCCCCCGAGUACUGCCACGCCAACUUCACCAAGUACUUCACCG
This 270-nucleotide unclassified non-coding RNA is filed under the name uncultured bacterium. Its description in RNAcentral is "contains 16S-23S intergenic spacer region". The record is from RNAcentral.